GCCAGGUGUGGUGGUGUGCGCCUGUAGUCCCAGCUACUUGGGAGGCCGAGGCAGGAGAAUCGCUUGAACCCAGGAGGCGGAGGUUGCAGUGAGCUGAGAUCGUGCCACUGCACUCCAGCCUGGGCAACAGAGUGAGACCCUGUCUCAA
Molecule: unclassified non-coding RNA, 148 nt
Organism: Macaca fascicularis (crab-eating macaque)
Lineage: Eukaryota; Metazoa; Chordata; Mammalia; Primates; Cercopithecidae
Rfam family: Metazoan signal recognition particle RNA
About the family: The signal recognition particle (SRP) is a universally conserved ribonucleoprotein. It is involved in the co-translational targeting of proteins to membranes. The eukaryotic SRP consists of a 300-nucleotide 7S RNA and six proteins: SRPs 72, 68, 54, 19, 14, and 9.
Source: Ensembl